This 443-nucleotide unclassified non-coding RNA is filed under the name Polygala platyptera. RNAcentral's name for it is "partial contains external transcribed spacer and small subunit ribosomal RNA". Lineage: Eukaryota; Viridiplantae; Streptophyta; Magnoliopsida; Fabales; Polygalaceae. The record is from RNAcentral.
CGGCGGGGCGGCUCCAUGUAUCUGCAUCGAUCUGCUGACCGACUUGCAUCCUCAUACUUGUGUCCGGUGCUUGCACUUGUGGACCAAUUGAUUCGGCUUCUGUGUUGGCUACCUAUUGGCGGCAUUUUUCGAAAUCGGCUUGUCCCUUCUCUCUACGACCGUCCCAUGUGGGAUGUCGAGGGAGCGUGAAGAGGCCCUAGUGUCCCCAGUCUGUUGCCCUCGAGGUGCCUAGACUUGGGCAUGUUAUGUGUCCCCGUGCCUUUGGAUUCUGUGCUCUCGGAUGGCUCUCGGUGCACUUGAACUUUGUGCCAUAUUUGACCAAUUUCGUUGAAAUGACGCUCGAUACCCCAUUUGUCGUGAGCGUGCCCAGUGCCGCCGUGUCGAUGGGGUUCGACGUCUUUGAGGGUUGUUACCUGGUUGAUCCAGCCAGUAGCAUAUGCUUG